UACGUAGGUGGCAAGCGUUGUCCGGAAUUAUUGGGCGUAAAGCGCGCGCAGGCGGUUCUUUAAGUCUGAUGUGAAAUCUUGCGGCUCAACCGUGAGCGGUCAUUGGAAACUGGAGAACUUGAGUGCAGAAGAGAAGAGCGGAAUUCCACGUGUAGCGGUGAAAUGCGUAGAGAUGUGGAGGAACACCAGUGGCGAAGGCGGCUCUUUGGUCUGUAACUGACGCUGAGGCGCGAAAGCGUGGGGAGCGAAC
This 250-nucleotide ribosomal RNA is filed under the name uncultured bacterium. RNAcentral describes it as "partial 16S ribosomal RNA". It matches the Rfam family "Bacterial small subunit ribosomal RNA", at positions 524 to 773 of the family's 1533-position model. The record is from RNAcentral.